ACUCCUACGGGAGGCAGCAGUGAGGAAUAUUGGACAAUGGGCGGGAGCCUGAUCCAGCCAUGCCGCGUGCAGGAAGACGGCCCUAUGGGUUGUAAACUGCUUUUAUACGGGAAGAAACACUCCCUCGUGAGGGAGCUUGACGGUACCGUAAGAAUAAGGAUCGGCUAACUCCGUGCCAGCAGCCGCGGUAAUACGGAGGAUCCAAGCGUUAUCCGGAAUCAUUGGGUUUAAAGGGUCCGUAGGCGGGACAAUAAGUCAGCGGUGAAAGUCUGUGGCUCAACCAUAGAAUUGCCAUUGAUACUGUUGUUCUUGAGUGUUUAUGAAGUGGUUGGAAUAUGUAGUGUAGCGGUGAAAUGCAUAGAUAUUACAUAGAACACCGAUUGCGAAGGCAGAUCACUAAUAAAAUACUGACGCUGAUGGACGAAAGCGUAGGUAGCGAACAGGAUUAGAUACCCUGGUAGUCUACGCCGUAAACGAUGGUUACUAGCUGUUCGGUCGUAAGACUGAGUGGCUAAGCGAAAGUGAUAAGUAACCCACCUGGGGAGUACGUUCGCAAGAAUGAAACUCAAAGGAAUUGACGGGGGCCCGCACAAGCGGUGGAGCAUGUGGUUUAAUUCGAUGAUACGCGAGGAACCUUACCAGGGCUUAAGUG
RNAcentral lists this ribosomal RNA (652 nucleotides) under uncultured bacterium. RNAcentral describes it as "bacterial SSU rRNA". It matches the Rfam family "Bacterial small subunit ribosomal RNA", at positions 335 to 987 of the family's 1533-position model. The record is from RNAcentral.